UGGGGAAUAUUGCACAAUGGGGGAAACCCUGAUGCAGCGACGCCGCGUGGGUGAGGAAGUAUUUCGGUAUGUAAAGCCCUAUCAGCAGGGAAGAAGAUGACAGUACCUGACUAAGAAGCCCCGGCUAACUACGUGCC
This 137-nucleotide ribosomal RNA is filed under the name uncultured bacterium. RNAcentral describes it as "partial 16S ribosomal RNA". It matches the Rfam family "Bacterial small subunit ribosomal RNA", at positions 355 to 509 of the family's 1533-position model. The record is from RNAcentral.